RNAcentral lists this transfer RNA (70 nucleotides) under Ictidomys tridecemlineatus (thirteen-lined ground squirrel). Its description in RNAcentral is "Spermophilus tridecemlineatus (thirteen-lined ground squirrel) tRNA". It matches the Rfam family "tRNA". From Rfam's summary of the family: Transfer RNA (tRNA) molecules are approximately 80 nucleotides in length. Their secondary structure includes four short double-helical elements and three loops (D, anti-codon, and T loops). Lineage: Eukaryota; Metazoa; Chordata; Mammalia; Rodentia; Sciuridae. The record is from Rfam by way of RNAcentral.
UGGGAUAUAGCUCAGUAGGUGGAGUACAUGAUCAGUAUGCAUGAGCCCUGGGUUUGAUUCCCAGUACCAA